Molecule: ribosomal RNA, 539 nt
Filed under: uncultured bacterium
Lineage: Bacteria
Description: bacterial SSU rRNA
Rfam family: Bacterial small subunit ribosomal RNA
Source: RNAcentral
AAAAUAGAUACCCGGGUAGUCCACGCCGUAAACGAUGAGUGCUAAGUGUUAGGGGGUUUCCGCCCCUUAGUGCUGCAGCUAACGCAUUAAGCACUCCGCCUGGGGAGUACGGUCGCAAGACUGAAACUCAAAGGAAUUGACGGGGGCCCGCACAAGCGGUGGAGCAUGUGGUUUAAUUCGAAGCAACGCGAAGAACCUUACCAGGUCUUGACAUCCCGCUGACCGCUAUGGAGACAUAGCUUUCCCUUCGGGGACAGCGGUGACAGGUGGUGCAUGGUUGUCGUCAGCUCGUGUCGUGAGAUGUUGGGUUAAGUCCCGCAACGAGCGCAACCCUUGUCCUUAGUUGCCAUCAUUCAGUUGGGCGCUCUAAGGAGACUGCCGUACAAAUACGGAGGAAGGUGGGGAUGACGUCAAAUCAUCAUGCCCCUUAUGACCUGGGCUACACACGUGCUACAAUGGACGGUACAAACGGUUGCGAAGUCGCGAGACGGAGCCAAUCCGAGAAAGCCGUUCUCAGUUCGGAUUGCAGGCUGCUAACG